This 765-nucleotide ribosomal RNA is filed under the name Bacillus sp. (in: firmicutes). RNAcentral describes it as "bacterial SSU rRNA". It matches the Rfam family "Bacterial small subunit ribosomal RNA", at positions 51 to 794 of the family's 1533-position model. The record is from RNAcentral. Lineage: Bacteria; Bacillati; Bacillota; Bacilli; Caryophanales; Bacillaceae.
UAUCAUGCAAGUCGAGCGAAUGGAUUAAGAGCUUGCUCUUAUGAAGUUAGCGGCGGACGGGUGAGUAACACGUGGGUAACCUGCCCAUAAGACUGGGAUAACUCCGGGAAACCGGGGCUAAUACCGGAUAACAUUUUGAACCGCAUGGUUCGAAAUUGAAAGGCGGCUUCGGCUGUCACUUAUGGAUGGACCCGCGUCGCAUUAGCUAGUUGGUGAGGUAACGGCUCACCAAGGCAACGAUGCGUAGCCGACCUGAGAGGGUGAUCGGCCACACUGGGACUGAGACACGGCCCAGACUCCUACGGGAGGCAGCAGUAGGGAAUCUUCCGCAAUGGACGAAAGUCUGACGGAGCAACGCCGCGUGAGUGAUGAAGGCUUUCGGGUCGUAAAACUCUGUUGUUAGGGAAGAACAAGUGCUAGUUGAAUAAGCUGGCACCUUGACGGUACCUAACCAGAAAGCCACGGCUAACUACGUGCCAGCAGCCGCGGUAAUACGUAGGUGGCAAGCGUUAUCCGGAAUUAUUGGGCGUAAAGCGCGCGCAGGUGGUUUCUUAAGUCUGAUGUGAAAGCCCACGGCUCAACCGUGGAGGGUCAUUGGAAACUGGGAGACUUGAGUGCAGAAGAGGAAAGUGGAAUUCCAUGUGUAGCGGUGAAAUGCGUAGAGAUAUGGAGGAACACCAGUGGCGAAGGCGACUUUCUGGUCUGUAACUGACACUGAGGGCGCGAAAGCGUGGGGAGCAAACAGGAUUUAGAUACCCUGGUAGU